GGAGGGGUGCCAGAGUGGUCGAUUGGGACGGUCUUGAAAACCGUUGAAGGGUCACACCUUCCGUGGGUUCGAAUCCCACCCCCUCCGC
Molecule: transfer RNA, 88 nt
Filed under: Paludisphaera borealis
Lineage: Bacteria; Pseudomonadati; Planctomycetota; Planctomycetia; Isosphaerales; Isosphaeraceae
Description: tRNA-Ser
Rfam family: tRNA
About the family: Transfer RNA (tRNA) molecules are approximately 80 nucleotides in length. Their secondary structure includes four short double-helical elements and three loops (D, anti-codon, and T loops).
Source: RNAcentral